This 440-nucleotide ribosomal RNA is filed under the name uncultured bacterium. RNAcentral describes it as "partial 16S ribosomal RNA". It matches the Rfam family "Bacterial small subunit ribosomal RNA", at positions 338 to 795 of the family's 1533-position model. The record is from RNAcentral.
CCUACGGGGGGCAGCAGUGGGGAAUAUUGCACAAUGGGGGAAACCCUGAUGCAGCGACGCCGCGUGAGUGAAGAAGUAAUUCGGUAUGUAAAGCUCUAUCAGCAGGGAAGAAAAUGACGGUACCUGAGUAAGAAGCCCCGGCUAACUACGUGCCAGCAGCCGCGGUAAUACGUAGGGGGCAAGCGUUAUCCGGAUUUACUGGGUGUAAAGGGAGCGUAGACGGCAGUGCAAGGUCUGAGGUAAAGGCGGGGGCUCAACCCCCGGACUGCUCUUGAAACUGUACGGCUGGAGUGCAGGAGAGGUAAGUGGAAUUCCUAGUGUAGCGGUGAAAUGCGUAGAUAUUAGGAGGAACACCAGUGGCGAAGGCGGCUUACUGGACUGUAACUGACGUUGAGGCUCGAAAGCGUGGGGAGCAAACAGGAUUAGAUACCCGGGUAGUC